Molecule: ribosomal RNA, 468 nt
Filed under: uncultured bacterium
Lineage: Bacteria
Description: partial 16S ribosomal RNA
Rfam family: Bacterial small subunit ribosomal RNA
Source: RNAcentral
GACGAACGCUGGCGGCGUGCUUAACACAUGCAAGUCGAACGGAAAGGCCCUGCUUUUGUGGGGUGCUCGAGUGGCGAACGGGUGAGUAACACGUGAGUAACCUGCCCUUGACUUUGGGAUAACUUCAGGAAACUGGGGCUAAUACCGGAUAGGAGCUCCUGCUGCAUGGUGGGGGUUGGAAAGUUUCGGCGGUUGGGGAUGGACUCGCGGCUUAUCAGCUUGUUGGUGGGGUAGUGGCUUACCAAGGCUUUGACGGGUAGCCGGCCUGAGGGGGUGACCGGCCACAUUGGGACUGAGAUACGGCCCAGACUCCUACGGGAGGCGGCAGUGGGGAAUAUUGCACAAUGGGCGGAAGCCUGAUGCAGCAACGCCGCGUGCGGGAUGACGGCCUUCGGGUUGUAAACCGCUUUCGCCUGUGACGAAGCGUGAGUGACGGUAAUGGGUAAAGAAGCACCGGCUAACUACGUG